Molecule: ribosomal RNA, 377 nt
Filed under: uncultured organism
Description: partial 16S ribosomal RNA
Rfam family: Bacterial small subunit ribosomal RNA
Source: RNAcentral
GGGGGGUGCAAGCGUUAUUCGGAAUCACUGGGCGUAAAGAGCGCGUAGGCGGUUUCUUAAGUCAGAUGUGAAACGCCCGGGGCUUAACCCCGGAAGUGCAUUUGAAACGGAGGGACUUGAGUAUGGGAGAGGGAAGUGGAAUUCCUGGUGUAGCGGUGAAAUGCGUAGAUAUCAGGAGGAACAACCGGUGGCGAUGGCGACUUCCUGGACCAAUACUGACGCUGAGGCGCGAAGGCGUGGGGAGCAAACAGGAUUAGAUACCUGGUAGUCCACGCAGUAAACGUUGAACACUAGGUGUAGCGGGUAUUGACCCCCCCUGCUGUGCCCGCAGCUAACGCAUUAAGUGUUCCGCCUGGGGAGUACGGCCGCAAGGCUAA